RNAcentral lists this ribosomal RNA (465 nucleotides) under uncultured bacterium. RNAcentral describes it as "partial 16S ribosomal RNA". It matches the Rfam family "Bacterial small subunit ribosomal RNA", at positions 338 to 795 of the family's 1533-position model. The record is from RNAcentral.
CCUACGGGGGGCAGCAGUGGGGAAUAUUGCGCAAUGGGCGAAAGCCUGACGCAGCGACGCCGCGUGAGGGAUGAAGGUCUUCGGAUCGUAAACCUCUGUCAGCAGGGAAGAACGGUCACUGUGCUAAUCAGCAGUGAAUUGAUGGUACCUGCAAAGGAAGCACCGGCUAACUCCGUGCCAGCAGCCGCGGUAAUACGGAGGGCGCUAGCGUUAAUCGGAAGUACUGGGCGUAAAGCGCUCGUAGGCGGUAUGUCAAGUCAAGGGUGAAAUCCCCGGGCUCAACGUGGGAACUGCCAUUGAAACUGGCAAACUGGAGUGUGUGAGGGGAAAGUGGAAUUCCAGGUGGAGGAGUGAAAUCCGUAGAUAUCUGGAGGAACAUCAGUGGCGAAGGCGGGUAUCUGGCACAUAACUGACGCUGAGGAACGAAAGCGUGGGUAGCAAACGGGAUUAGAUACCCGAGUAGUC